UGGGGAAUAUUGGACAAUGGGGGGAACCCUGAUCCAGCCAUGCCGCGUGUGUGAAGAAGGCCUUAUGGUUGUAAAGCACUUUAAGCGAGGAGGAGGGUACUGGUAUUAAUACUACCAGCUACUGGACGUUACUCGCAGAAUAAGCACCGGCUAACUCUGUGCCAGCAGCCGCGGUAAUACAGAGGGUGCGAGCGUUAAUCGGACUUACUGGGCGUAAAGCGUGCGUAGGCGGCUAAUUGAGUCGGAUGUGAGAUCCCCGAGCUUAACUUGGUAAUUGCAUUCGAUACUGGUUAGCUAGAGUGUGGGAGAGGAUGGUAGAAUUCCAGGUGUAGCGGAGAAAUGCGUAGAUAUAGGAAGGGACACCAGUCGGUAAGGCGACCACCUGGGCGCAUUCUGACACUGAGGUGCGAAAGCGUGGGGAGCAAACAGG
RNAcentral lists this ribosomal RNA (430 nucleotides) under Pseudomonadota bacterium. RNAcentral's name for it is "Proteobacteria bacterium partial 16S ribosomal RNA". It matches the Rfam family "Bacterial small subunit ribosomal RNA", at positions 355 to 776 of the family's 1533-position model. Lineage: Bacteria; Pseudomonadati; Pseudomonadota. The record is from RNAcentral.